CCAGGCUCCAGCGGGCAGCCUGUCUCGUGAGUGGCCACAAGAAAAUAAAUCUCAGAGUUGUAUAUGGUGAUAUAUUAUUUUGAUUCCUGCAGUUUAGAGGAAAAUCCCAAAUCUGCAUUACCCUCAGAAGUGUUUAAGAAGUAUAUUUUCAGAUCAAGUAGGACAGCGGUCCCCAACCACCAGGCCGUGGACCGGUAUCGGGCCUCAAAGCACGUGCUACUGGGCCGCGAAGAAACGAUAUGAUUUGGCGACAUGAAAUGAUAUGAGUCAACUGCACCUUUCCUCAUUCCCUGUAAUGCACUGUUGAACGAACGCACGCAUGGUUAUCAGUGACCCAAGACGUGCAAAGGAAUGGGUCCGUGACCCAUUUGUGAAUGUCCCCAGUGAAUCAUCCAUGUCAGCACGAGAAAA
Molecule: long non-coding RNA, 411 nt
Organism: Mobula hypostoma (lesser devil ray)
Lineage: Eukaryota; Metazoa; Chordata; Chondrichthyes; Myliobatiformes; Myliobatidae
Exons: 3
Source: RefSeq, a predicted model, not a curated record